RNAcentral lists this ribosomal RNA (548 nucleotides) under uncultured bacterium. RNAcentral describes it as "partial 16S ribosomal RNA". It matches the Rfam family "Bacterial small subunit ribosomal RNA", at positions 355 to 895 of the family's 1533-position model. The record is from RNAcentral.
UGGGGAAUUUUGGACAAUGGGCGAAAGCCUGAUCCAGCAAUGCCGCGUGUGUGAAGAAGGCCUUCGGGUUGUAAAGCACUUUUGUCCGGAAAGAAAUCCUUGGCUCUAAUACAGUCGGGGGAUGACGGUACCGGAAGAAUAAGCACCGGCUAACUACGUGCCAGCAGCCGCGGUAAUACGUAGGGUGCAAGCGUUAAUCGGAAUUACUGGGCGUAAAGCGUGCGCAGGCGGUUUGCUAAGACCGAUGUGAAAUCCCCGGGCUCAACCUGGGAACUGCAUUGGUGACUGGCAGGCUAGAGUAUGGCAGAGGGGGGUAGAAUUCCACGUGUAGCAGUGAAAUGCGUAGAGAUGUGGAGGAAUACCGAUGGCGAAGGCAGCCCCCUGGGCCAAAUACUGACGCUCAUGCACGAAAGCGUGGGGAGCAAACAGGAUUAGAUACCCUGGUAGUCCACGCCCUAAACGAUGUCAACUAGUUGUCGGGGAUUCAUUUCCUUAGUAACGUAGCUAACGCGUGAAGUUGACCGCCUGGGGAGUACGGUCGCAAGAUU